RNAcentral lists this ribosomal RNA (772 nucleotides) under Brevibacterium sp. Y412_1. RNAcentral's name for it is "bacterial SSU rRNA". It matches the Rfam family "Bacterial small subunit ribosomal RNA", at positions 676 to 1444 of the family's 1533-position model. The record is from RNAcentral. Lineage: Bacteria; Bacillati; Actinomycetota; Actinomycetes; Micrococcales; Brevibacteriaceae.
UAGCGGUGAAAUGCGCAGAUAUCAGGAGGAACACCGGUGGCGAAGGCGGGACUCUGGGCUGUAACUGACACUGAGGAGCGAAAGCAUGGGGAGCGAACAGGAUUAGAUACCCUGGUAGUCCAUGCCGUAAACGUUGGGCACUAGGUGUGGGGGGCAUUCCACGUUCUCCGCGCCGUAGCUAACGCAUUAAGUGCCCCGCCUGGGGAGUACGGUCGCAAGGCUAAAACUCAAAGGAAUUGACGGGGGCCCGCACAAGCGGCGGAGCAUGCGGAUUAAUUCGAUGCAACGCGAAGAACCUUACCAAGGCUUGACAUACACCGGACCGUCCUGGAAACAGGUCCUCUUCUUUGAAGCUGGUGUACAGGUGGUGCAUGGUUGUCGUCAGCUCGUGUCGUGAGAUGUUGGGUUAAGUCCCGCAACGAGCGCAACCCUCGUUCUAUGUUGCCAGCACGUGAUGGUGGGAACUCAUAGGAGACUGCCGGGGUCAACUCGGAGGAAGGUGGGGAUGACGUCAAAUCAUCAUGCCCUUUAUGUCUUGGGCUUCACGCAUGCUACAAUGGCUGGUACAGAGAGAGGCGAACCCGUGAGGGCAAGCGAAUCCCUUAAAGCCAGUCUCAGUUCGGAUCGUAGUCUGCAAUUCGACUACGUGAAGUCGGAGUCGCUAGUAAUCGCAGAUCAGCAACGCUGCGGUGAAUACGUUCCCGGGCCUUGUACACACCGCCCGUCAAGUCACGAAAGUCGGUAACACCCGAAGCCGGUGGCCUAACCGUAA